GCUCGAGUGGCGAACGGGUGAGUAACACGUGAGUAACCUGCCCUUGACUUUGGGAUAACUUCAGGAAACUGGGGCUAAUACCGGAUAGGAGCUCCUGCUGCAUGGUGGGGGUUGGAAAGUUUCGGCGGUUGGGGAUGGACUCGCGGCUUAUCAGCUUGUUGGUGGGGUAGUGGCUUACCAAGGCUUUGACGGGUAGCCGGCCUGAGAGGGUGACCGGCCACAUUGGAACUGAGACACGGUCCAG
RNAcentral lists this ribosomal RNA (244 nucleotides) under uncultured Actinomycetales bacterium. RNAcentral describes it as "partial 16S ribosomal RNA". It matches the Rfam family "Bacterial small subunit ribosomal RNA", at positions 89 to 334 of the family's 1533-position model. The record is from RNAcentral. Lineage: Bacteria; Bacillati; Actinomycetota; Actinomycetes; Actinomycetales.